AGCAAGGUCGUGGUGUCAUGUUUCGACGUGGGAUUGUCUCGCUUCCCUCGGGGCUUAAUCUGUCUUCUCAACACGUAAAGGAGAUUGUGGCACGCGUCUCUCACAUGACAAAAGCCGGCGAUAUCACUAUUCAUUAAAUUAUUCAAUUAUCAAAGCUUCCAAAUAUAAAAUAGCACCACAGAUCCCUGAGAGGGCAAAGCAAGCUGCCGCUUCUUCUUCUUCUUCUUCCUCUCCUUCAUAGUGCUCGUUAGAACGAUCCGAUUAAGUGCCUCUGGUUACUCUACGUUAAGUGUGAAUCCAAUUUUGAUCAGAGAGAGAGAGAGAGAGAAUGGGAGGGUAUGCUUUGGGGUCGGCUUUUGAUUUGAAAUCAGGGCAGACGAUAAUGGUGGAUUCUUUCUACUUGGGCACUCUACCAUUUAUGUUUCUCAAUUCUCCUCUAUUCCUCUUCAUCUCCUGGUACGUUUGCUUUCUUUUAGUAUCUACAGAAUCUAUUUCAUCAUCUUCAUUUUUUCAAAAAAAUUCUUUCUCUUUUUGGAGCUGGGUUUUGGAUGCAAGAUUUUUAUUAUGUGUCCCCUGAAAUUUAAUGAGGAAAUCCCUUGCCAUGAUGUUCUGUAUGUGAAAAGUCUACUCCCAAGCUUAGAUCUUUCAUGAAAAGUCUACUUCCUUGCCAUAAUAAAUUUAUACAUAAUUAUCAAAUCGAUAAAAGAAAAUGGAACGAUUUUAAAAUUACUAAAAAAAUACAACUGUUUAGUAACUAUAUAUAAAAAUAUAAAAAAUCAAAUUAUAAUAUUUUCAUUGAAUAAAGAUUAUAAAUUGUAAUUUGAUUUUUAAAGUUUACAAUUCAAUCUUUAAAUGUUCAUAGAGAAAAGGAAAAUAAAACAAUAAAUAGAAAAAUGAAAAAUAUUGGAGUCUGUCAGGCAACCGUGCGACCACCUCAGCCACGUAUGGCUGAGAACGAUCCUCUACAAGCUCACGGACCCAAAGAAUCCUUAGCCGUUAAUCACGCUCUGAUCGUACGGCCAUGCUUCAUCUUCCAGACUGUGGUUCCUGUCUCCUUUGUGCUAAAGGACACAGAAGUACGAUCCUAUAGAACAGAUCCUGUUCAAGUAAGGUCGUGCACUCGUUUCCUAACCUCAGCAAUUAGAUGGGCUGCUUCGUUCUUUCAACCUUUCGAUGUGGGAUUGUAACUCGCCUCCUUCAGGGCUUAAAUCGUCUUUUCGACACGUAAAGGCGAUUGUGGCACGCGUCUCUCACAUGACAAAAGCCGGCGAUAUCACUAUUUGAUAAAUAAUUCAAUUAUCAAGCUUCCAAAAAUAAAAUAGCAGCACAGAUUCCCAGUCCCGAGAGAGCAAGCAAGCUGGUUCUGGAGAUAUUCUUCUUCUUCUUCUUCGUGCUUGUUAGAGAGAUCCGAUUAGGUUCCUCUGGUUACUCUAAGGUUAAGCGUGAAUCAAAUUUAGAUCACCGACACAGAGAGAGAGAGAGAAUGGGAGGGUAUGCUUUGGGGUCGGCUUUUGAUUUGAAAUCAGGGCAGAUGAUAAUGGUGGCUUUAUUAUUAAUGGUGGGUUCUUUCUACUUGGGCACUCUAUUUGGUAACAAUGCUCCCGUUUAUGUCCCUCAAUUCUCCUCUAAUUCCUCUUCCUCUUCAUCUCCUGGUAAGUUUGCUUUCUUUUAGUAUGUACAGAAUCUAUUUCAUGAUCUUCCUUUCUUUUACAUAUUUUCUUUCUCUUUUUUGAGCUGGGUCUCGGAUGGAAGAUUUUAUUAUUAUAAUUAUUUGCUUUAGUAUAGUUUAUUACUUUACUAGUCUAACUUGAGCUCAAUUUUAUUUAUUUUCUUUCUAUGUUUGGUAUUGCAAUUUGUUGUUUAAUUGGAAAUUCUAGUUUACUUCGUUUCUAUUUUCAAUAACCCAUUGCAAUUGUAGAGAAUGUCAAAGUUAUAGGGUAGGGAAAUUUUGUGGAUCGCAUGGGCAGCUCUCCCUGCCCUUUGUCACUGCUUUCGUAUUGCUAAUAACCAUUUACAUGCACUUAUUAAUACUGAAGAUUACUUCUAGUAUUAGAAUAAUGAUUUGGAACAUCAUUGAUUAAAAUCUUUAAGAGUGAUAGGAAUGCUGGAGCAGUUUCAAUAAGAUUCUAGAAAUCUGGCAUUGUCCUUCACCACAAAGAUUAUUAAUGGAAAUGCAUUUGGAAUUGAUUGACCCUUUCUUAGCUGAGAGUAUUAAACAAAAUAGCUUACCACCAAUGAAAUUGAAUGAGAUCACCUUGAAGGGGGAGCUUUAUGUAAUUCUUUUUUUGGAUCAAGCAUUAUUUGAUCAUUAUAUAGGCAUUUGAUUUGUGAUUAAAUGAAGUUUUUGAGUCUCAUUGCAUUAGUUGACUUGCAGACAUUUUUUCUGGGAUCAGCUUUUAUACUUUCGUAUUCCAGAUUUGCCAGUCCUAUGUAGCUUCAGAUAUCAAACUACAUUUUACACAUGCACAUAUAUUAUUAUUCAAUACCAGGUUAGUUAAUGUUGAUAAAAACAUGUCACUUAGAAUAUGCACGUGAAUUGUUUUAUGGGUCUUUUCUUUUCACCUAAACCCCAAUUCAUUUCUGUUUCUCAUGAAUGAUAUUUCCCUUGAUUUCAGUUAAAAAAAAAAAAAAAAAACUGCAAUUUAAUUUGUUUUGGCCUCGUAGGAAACUGUGGCCAUUGAUUGUUAUGAAGUUCUUCACUUUAUGUGUAAUAUUGACUUUUUAACUUCUUUUGUGCUUACUGAAAUAGAUUAUCUUGGAAACUUUUAGAUAUGUUCACAUUUAGCAACAAAAUUGCUCGCUCUUAACUGAAAAUGGGAUGAAUAUAUGCCCCCUGAAGUUUAAUGAGUAAAUCCCUUGCCAUAAUGUUCUCCAAGUGAAAAGUCUACUCCCAAGCUUAGAUAUUUCUUGAAAAGAAGAGCUGGAGAGGCGUUGCCCUCCACCUGAAAAGCGUCUACUUCUGCUUGGUGCCAACCCAGAAGAUUAUAAAUUGCCAACCAGCAGGAAUCAUGUUUGGCAAAGCAAAGUGAAUCAGACACGUCUUGCUGCAGUCAAAGGAAUUGGGUGCAUGAAAAGGAUCAAUUAUGGUGGUUCGCAGGAGGCGAUAAUCAUUUCAAAAUUCAAAGCACGGGGCACCUGAGUACAUUCGGAGGCUCAAAUUUCGACAUUGCGAACGAAGAGAAAGAGUUGAAAAUAAUUUUUCCUAGGUGUCUUCUUGUUUAGAUGAUUCUUGAGGAAGAUCUACAAACAAGCGUAUAUGAAUUUGUCUUGGGCGCAAAGACAAUUGCAAAGGGUCCACAAAUCACGAUGCAGAUUGCAAUUUCUUCAAUUGGAUGUUUAAGGUUUUGAUUCAAUUUCUUCAAUUGGGUGUUUGAGGUUUUGAUUUUUGGAUUGGCUUAUGGAUUCCUUGUGUUUGCUAUGUUGAUUUUGAAUGAAUUUUUUUACUUCAGUUCCUAUUUUUGGAACAUUUUAUUUCUUAUUGUUUGAUUUAGAAAAUGUAUAUGUGAUUUUAUUGUUUGAUUUAGAUGUAUAUGUGAUUUUUUGUUCUCGAAGGUAUUGAUUUUUAUUUUGGACAAAAUUUAUUGCUGUUUUAUGCUGUUGUAAAGAAUAAACAAAUCAAACCGAAAAUAUUUAAUUCCAUACGAUUUGAUUUUUUUCGUAUUUCAAUUCAUUUUCUAAUAGUAUUUUUUAUCAAUUUGAUUUUUUAAUUUUAAUUUUUCAACCAACCUAACCUGACCUAAUCAUCUCCAUAUUUCAAUUCGUUUUCUAAUAGUAUUUUUUAUCAAUUCGAUUUUUUAUUUUUCAAAUUUCGAGUCGACCUUACCUAAUUAUCUCUCCACAUAUAAUUAAAGAGAGUCCUCAAAACAAUAUGCAACUCUAAAUGAUUCCUUUCAAACUCACUAAAACGGUGAUGUCCAACAUAACCAAACUCUUAAAAACCCUACAUCUAAGGUACAAUCAGUUCGGACUGCAGUUGCUUCAAUUCCAAAACGAAACAAAAAUAAGAAUCACCUUUGGGAGAAGAAGACAUGUUUGUAUUUCCAAGGGAAGGAGACAACCAGAGAAGCUAGCAAACACGCAGCCCAACAUCCAGAACUUCAACAACCCCAGCUGACAGCAGAUGUUUCAUUAGUCGUCACAGUUCCAACCUGCAUUUAGAAUUGAAAAGGAAACAGAAUGGUAUUUAACUAAUUAUACGUAAUGUGAGACCAAUCGCUUGCUUGGGUAGUGAAAUAACAUCAAAUGACAAAACCAGCUCAAAGGUAUUAAGAUAUGUAAGAAAAAGAUCAUCUAAGUUACCUCCAAAUGCACUCCGGUGCCCCGUGCUUUGAAUUUUGAAAUGAUCAUCGCCUCCUGCAAACCACCGUAAUUGAUCCUUUUCAUGCACCCAAUUCCUUUGACUGCAGCAAGACGUGUCUGAUUCACAUUGCUUUGCCAAACAUGAUUCCUGCUGGUUGGCAAUUUAUAAUCUUCUGGGGUGGCACCGAGCACAAGUAGACGCUUUUCAGGUGGAGGGCAACGCCUCUCCAGCUCUUCUUUUCAAGAAAGAUCUAAGCUUGGGAGUAGACUUUUCACUUGGAGAACAUCAUGGCAAGGGAUUUACUCAUUAAACUUCAUGGGGCAUAUAUUCAUCCCAUUUUCAGUUAAAAGCGAGCAAUUUUGUUGCUAAAUGUGAACAUAUCUGAAAGUUUCCAAGAUAAAAUAUUUCAGUAAGCACAAAAGAAGUUAAAAGUCAAUAUUACACAUAAAGUGAAGAACUUCAUAACAAUCAUUCCUAGGAGGCCAAAACAAAUUAAAUUGCAGUUUUUUUAUUCUAACUGAAAUCAAGGGAAAUAUCAUUCAUGAGAAACAGAAAUGAAUUGGGGUUUAGGUGAAAAGAAAAGACCCAUAAAACAAUUCACGUGCACAUUCUAAGUGACAUGUUUUUAUCAACAUUAACUAACCUGGUAUUGAAUAAUAAUAUAUGUGCAUGUGUAAAAUGUAGUUUGAUAUCUGAAGCUGCAUAGGACUGGCAAAUCUGGAAUACGAAAGUAUAAAAGCUGAUCCCAGAAAAAAUGUCUGCAAGUCAACUAACGCAAUGAGACUCAAAAACUUCAUUUAAUCACAAAUCAAAUAAUGCUUGAUCCAAAAAAAGAAUUACAUAAAGCUCCCCUUCAAGGUGAUCUCAUUCAAUUUCAUUGGUGGUAAGCUAUUUUGUUCAAUACUCUCAGCUAAGAAAAGGUCAAUCAAUUCCAAAUGCAUUUCCAUUAAUAAUCUUUGUUGUGAAGGACAAUGCCAGAUUUCUAGAAUCUUAUUGAAACUGCUCCAGCAUUCCUAUCACUCUUAAAGAUUUUAAUCAAUGAUGUCCCAAAUCAUUAUUCUAAUACUAGAAGUAAUCUUCAGUAUUAAUAAGUGCAUGUAAAUGGUUAUUAGCAAUACGAAAGCAGUGACAAAGGGCAGGGAGAGCUGCCCAUGCGAUCCACAAAAUUUCCCUACCCUAUAACUUUGACAUUCUCUACAAUUGCAAUGGGUUAUUGAAAAUAGAAACGAAGUAAACUAGAAUUUCCAAUUAAUCAGCAAAUUGCAAUACCAAACAUAGAAAGAAAAUAAAUAAAAUUGAGAUCAAGUUAGACUAGUAAAGUAAUCAACUAUACUAAAGCAAAUAAUUAUAACAAUAAAAUCUUCCAUCCGAAACCCAGCUCCAAAAAGAGAAAGAAUAUAUGUAAAAGAAAGGAAGAUCGUGAAAUAGAUUCUGUACAUACUAAAAGAAAGCAAACUUACCAGGAGAUGAAGAGGAAGAGGAAUUAGAGGAGAAUUGAGAGACAUAAACGGGAGCAUUGUUGCCAAAUAGAGUGCCCAAGUAGAAAGAACCCACCAUUAAUAAUAAAGCCACCAUUAUCAUCUGCCCUGAUUUCAAAUCAAAAGCCGACCCCAAAGCAUACCCUCCCAUUCUCUCCCUCUCUCUGUCGGUGAUCUAAAUUUGAUUCACGUUUAACCUUAGAGUAACCAGAGGAACCUAAUCGGAUCUCUCUAACAAGCACGAAGAAGAAGAAGAAUAUCUCCCGAACCAGCUUGCUUGCUCUCUCGGGACUGGGAAUCUGUGCUGCUAUUUUAUUUUUGGAAGCUUGAUAAUUGAAUUAUUUAACAAAUAGUGAUAUCGCCGGCUUUUGUCAUGUGAGAGACGCGUGCCACAAUCGCCUUUGCGUGUCGAAAAGACGAUUUAAUCCCUGAAGGAGGCGAGUUACAAUCCCACAUCGAAAAGUUGAAACAACGAAGCGGUCCAUCUAAUUGCUGAGGUAAGGAAACCGGUGCACGACCUUACUUGAACAGGAUCUGUUCUAUAGGAUCGUACCUCUGUGUCCUUUAGCACGAAGGAGACAGGAACCACAGUCUGGAAGAUGAAGCAUGGCCGUACGAUCAGAGCGUGAUUAACGGCUAAGGAUCCUUUGAGGUCCGUGAGCUGUAGAGGAUCGUUCUCAGCCACACGUGGCUGGGGUGGUCGCACGGUUGCCUGACAGACUCAAAUAUUUU
This is a long non-coding RNA of Manihot esculenta (cassava), 6510 nucleotides long. RefSeq lists it as uncharacterized. The record is from RefSeq and is a predicted model, not a curated record. NCBI's taxonomy places the organism in Eukaryota, Viridiplantae, Streptophyta, Magnoliopsida, Malpighiales, Euphorbiaceae. The transcript is spliced from 2 exons.